RNAcentral lists this ribosomal RNA (414 nucleotides) under uncultured bacterium. RNAcentral describes it as "bacterial SSU rRNA". It matches the Rfam family "Bacterial small subunit ribosomal RNA", at positions 351 to 782 of the family's 1533-position model. The record is from RNAcentral.
GCAGUGGGGAAUAUUGGACAAUGGGCGAAAGCCUGAUCCAGCAAUGCCGCGUGAGUGAUGAAGGCCUUAGGGUUGUAAAGCUCUUUUACCCGGGAUGAUAAUGACAGUACCGGGAGAAUAAGCUCCGGCUAACUCCGUGCCAGCAGCCGCGGUAAUACGGAGGGAGCUAGCGUUAUUCGGAAUUACUGGGCGUAAAGCGCACGUAGGCGGCUUUGUAAGUAAGAGGUGAAAGCCCAGAGCUCAACUCUGGAAUUGCCUUUUAGACUGCAUCGCUUGAAUCAUGGAGAGGUCAGUGGAAUUCCGAGUGUAGAGGUGAAAUUCGUAGAUAUUCGGAAGAACACCAGUGGCGAAGGCGGCUGACUGGACAUGUAUUGACGCUGAGGUGCGAAAGCGUGGGGAGCAAACAGGAUUAGA